Molecule: long non-coding RNA, 722 nt
Filed under: Nicotiana benthamiana
Lineage: Eukaryota; Viridiplantae; Streptophyta; Magnoliopsida; Solanales; Solanaceae
Description: long non-coding RNA (NBEN_LNC012964)
Source: RNAcentral
CUUUUUUUUUUUUAAUUUGCACCGCGUGUUCGAGUCUCCUCGAGCCCCCACUAAUCCCGGAAAUGUACAGGCCCUCAGCAAGGAGUUUCCCGUAAGUGCACCACAGUUAAUUUAGGUUUUACUUAGUCCGAUGGCCCUCAGAAAUUGUUUGCACCCAAUGGGUUUCGAACUUGAGACCUUGAAAGGGAGCAAACCCCAAGGCUCAAGUCAAUUGUCAUCAGGCCAACCCCUGAGGGUAUUCAUAGUCUCUUUCCGCUGUUACUUUAGCCAAUGGAUUUCAAACUAAAACAAAAGGAGUUGGACAAGCUAAUCCCUUACCCUUUGUCACUCUAGAUUUCGUUCUUUAUGUCCCUGGCUGUCCUUUUAGUCUUGCAUCUAUUAGUCAUUUGACUCGUGACCUCCAUUGUGGAAUAUAUUUUAUUGAUAAUUCUUUUAUUAUGCAGGACCACAGUACAAGACAGAUGAUUCGCACAGGGCUUGAAUCAGAAAGCCUUUACUACUGGCCAACCCAUGAGGGUUAAGCUCUCUUGUUUUCCUGCAGUUAAAUGUAAAUCAGGUUGUGACAACUGGAGCAUCCAGUUCUCUGGACUAGCUACGAGUAGGAGUGACAUACGGGGAGUCGGAUCGGAUAUGGUUCGGGUCCAAAACGGAUAAUGAAAAAAUGAAUAAAUUAUCCGACCCGACCCAUACUUAAUACGAAUAAAAACAGACUAACCAGAUGA